Non-coding RNA from Coffea arabica (coffee), 754 nucleotides. NCBI's taxonomy places the organism in Eukaryota, Viridiplantae, Streptophyta, Magnoliopsida, Gentianales, Rubiaceae. The record is from RefSeq and is a predicted model, not a curated record.
UGACAUGUCUGAUUUGGUUCUAGGCUUAUCUCAGUGCCAUCAUUGUAUACCUUUAUGCUCAUGACUUCCAGCAAGCAGAGAAGUGCCACAAUGAUUGUUGCCAGAUUGAAGCUUUCUUGAACAGUGAUCAAAAUCGUUGUGCCAAUAAACUUCUUUCUGCUUAUUCUGAUGGGGAUGUGGAGGAAAUCAAACGGGUGGCUCAAUCAAGCACUAUUUCCAAUCUAGACCACGCGAUCAUCAGGCAUGCUCGGAAAUUGGCCGAUGGUGAUGUAACUUCGUUGAAGGGUGCUGCCCCAGAAAGAAGAGCCCUUAGAUGAAGAUGAUCUUACCUAGCCUCUCACAUUGAUUGACAUAGCUUCUGAGUGUGUUGAAUAAUUUUCAUUAUGUCAUUUGAUUUGAAGAUAAGAAGUUGAUGCCCUCUCAUUUUCAAGUGUAUUUUCAGAUUAAAUUUGGCGAAGUAGAAUGGUCAAGGUCUUUACAUGAUCACGAGGGUUCGAACUCCAUGGUUUCCAAAUCCCCCUUCUUUUCCUGUUUCUUUUCACAUCUCACCUGCUGAACCUAUCCAAAGGGAGAAGAAGAAUUUGUAGCCAAUGAAAAAUGAAGAGGAGACAUAUUUUCGUUUUUCUUUGUAACAGCCAUUUGCAAACUUAGUGCCUCUAUUUUCUGGUGGUAUGUUCUCCAUUACAUAUUCCUUGUUCAUAUCUAAUGCUUCUGACUGAUAUUGUGUUAUUGAAAGCGAACUCGUUUAUCCAAA